Molecule: ribosomal RNA, 253 nt
Filed under: uncultured bacterium
Lineage: Bacteria
Description: partial 16S ribosomal RNA
Rfam family: Bacterial small subunit ribosomal RNA
Source: RNAcentral
UACGUAGGUGGCAAGCGUUAUCCGGAUUUACUGGGUGUAAAGGGCGUGUAGGCGGGAAAGCAAGUCAGAUGUGAAAACCAUGGGCUCAACCCGUGGCCUGCAUUUGAAACUGUUUUUCUUGAGUACUGGAGAGGCAGACGGAAUUCCUAGUGUAGCGGUGAAAUGCGUAGAUAUUAGGAGGAACACCAGUGGCGAAGGCGGUCUGCUGGACAGCAACUGACGCUGAGGCGCGAAAGCGUGGGGAGCAAACAGG